GGCAUGGUGAAGGGUUGGGUGAGGAAAUUGAGACUCUCUUCCAACCCCUUUCAGUCUUGUUAUUAAAGGGCAUAGGUUUUAGUGUGGGAAACUCAUUCUAUGGUGUUUUAUUAUUUUUUUUUUCUUUUGAGGUUCCACUCUCUUGCCUUCUGGUGUGUGGGAUGUGAACAUCUUAUUUCUUAGUUUUAAUGCCUGCAGUCAUAUUAUUCUUAAAGACUUGAGUGUGGGAACAAUGGUCCCUGCCAUUUUGAAGAAUUUUCUAAGGUCCUCUCAUCUUCCUACUAUCUCCGUAGCAGACACAAUGCCUCUCUGAUUUAAAGAGAGGAAAGAAUACAUGGAGGGAGACUUCCUUGCUUCUUAUCAGGAGCCUGAGGUCGAUUCAGACAAGUAUGACUGAAGGCCUACUCUUGCCGAGGAGGAUUUCAUCGGAGGAUAAAAUCUCCCUCAACUGCCGUCUUGGUCUCCAAAGAGGACUUCUUUUUGAAAACUCUGACUCCCAGAGAUUAAGAGCAAUUAACUGUCUCUCCACAGACUAAUUCAAAUGCAAUAUUUUGCCACGGGAGGAGGCUCUGCCCUUCUGCUAAGGGAUCCAUUUACCCCACCCAAUCUACUUCCUUAAGCAGAGUUAAAGCCGAUUAUUAAUACAGAGUAUUUAGACGUUCACGGACCCAAGGGCCUAUUGAUUCAGAGAGUGACUUCCAAAUUCCCAAGCUGAUUUCCUUACCUCAAGUCCAUGUCUCCGUCUGCCCAGUAAGCCAAGAUAUUAGAAGCUGUUCCACCUGGACAGCAUCCCAUGAUUAUAAUCACCACUGCCUGCACAGGCAGGACGUUGAAGGCAAGCGACAGGAUGAAACCUGUGAGGGGCAUAAUUCCAAACUGGCAGAGGAAGCCCACUAUUAUGCCCCAUGGUCUUCUUAAAUGUCCCAGGAAUUUCUUUACUUCCACAUUGCAGCCCAUUGAAAACAUCACCAUGGCCAGCAUGACGGUCAAAACUGUACUUAAGACUAUAUUCAAAAUUUUGUUGAAAUUGUUCUCAGGUACCAGGCAUGAGUUACCCUGGCAAAUGGUGGCAUUUUCAAAGCAGGUUGAAAAAUUCAUUGCUGGAUUUGCUGCCAAAAUCAUAAAAAUAAUGUUGGCUAAGGCCUGAUGCCGACAUACACCAAAUCAAGCAAUACUUGUUGUAUUCCCGUUGAGGUUAGACCUUAGCACACAUGUGUCACUUGGGAAGUCUUUAAAACUCCCUGAGAGGCCAUAAAGAACAAUAAAUACCUGGAUUUACCA
Ornithorhynchus anatinus (platypus) is the source of this 1281-nucleotide long non-coding RNA. RefSeq lists it as uncharacterized. The transcript is spliced from 2 exons. The record is from RefSeq and is a predicted model, not a curated record. NCBI's taxonomy places the organism in Eukaryota, Metazoa, Chordata, Mammalia, Monotremata, Ornithorhynchidae.